GACCCUCAAAGGACCAGGUUGGUGGGAACACCUCGGCCAGACCUCCUCCAGGACCUCCUCCCAGGCCUGUCAGGUGCCAGGCCUGCUGCAGCGGCGUGGGCGGGGCUCCGUGGAGAGGCCCCCAGGGUCGUCCGGACUAGGCAGGGAACCAUGUGGAACCAGGUGAAGGCACCUCCUGGACGGCUGGUGCUGGACCCAGGGUACAGGGAUAAGGCCACUGCAGCCUCUGCCCCUGGACAGAGACAAAUCAGCAAACUCCACUCCUGAGUGACAGAGGCUGGAGGAAGGGUACGGAUCAGGGAGCCUCUGCGGGAGGAGCCGGCCUUGACCCAAGAUCUCACUGGAGUUACAGUUUGUGGUGUCAGCCUCCGUUCAAACCCAGCCUCCUUUUGCCAGUCACUUGGGCCUCUGAGCCUCUAGCCUCAGCCUCCAACCCGUGAACAGUGCUACCUCGAGGGGCAGUUCUGAGAGGCAACACGCCGGCCCUGACUGGCGCCUCACUCGGCACAGCCCUCUUGCUCUGCCCGCCAUGCGCCCUCCUGUGGCCCACUGGCCGCCAUCUUUGGCCAUCCUGCUGCUGGAGCCCAACCCAGCCCUCAAGAGAUGGUGGUGCCGAAAGUCGUGGAGGACCCAUGGGCUCCCCUCUGCCAGGGACGCCCCCUGUUUCCUUCCCAUUCUCUUCCCUGGGCACGCGCCCCAUCAAUGGCAAGACGUGGAUCCUGGCUGCUCCGCAGUGUCUGAACUGCUGUCUGGGUCCCCUGCCACUGCCCUCCCGGAGCCCUGUGUCCUGCGGACGCUCUUGCUGGGCUCCAAGAGGUGGGGACAGAGCCCAGCAGGAUGGCAUCACAGCUGGGUGCCGGCCUGUCCCCAGGCUCCUGGUCACUCAGCAGCCUGGACUCUCCUGGGUCACCAGGGCCACCAGGCGCCUCCUUGCUGUGUUUGUGCUGGGGUGAGCGUGCGCUUGUGCGUGCGCAGGUGGGAACGCGUGCUCUCAGGAGGAGCAGGGCAGGUCCUCUGUGCGGGGAGGGAAGGGGCCUCGCGGCCUGGGCUGAACAGGGCAGGACUGCAGCAUCCCACCGGGGUGACACGGGCUGGCAGGGCCAUGUGGCUGUUUGUUUGAUUUCCCCCGACUUCCAAACUAGUUGAAAUUACACACCAAGCACCGAUUUAAUUAAGUUUUCCGGUGUGUGGCAUAAUUAGUGAGACACACGUCGGAACGGGUGGGCGGGCACAGCCCUGCUCCUGCCUGUUACAAUUUUCAGCCCUCGGGCCACAAAACAUGGCGUUUGGGGGAUGGAGGAGCCGGGCUGCCUGGGUCUCCCUGUGUGGCCUCCUGUCCACUCCACCCGGGGAGUGACCUGCCGCUACCACGGGGCCACAGCUGAGCUCAGGUGAAGCCCGGGAGCCUGCCGCCCCCUCAGGAUGGGGCCUGACUGAUCACAGGGCUCAGGGACGGUCACAGGGCCCGUCUGCUCAGGUUCUGGGGCACGAUCACAUUACAGGUAGGCGCUGCCCCCAGGGCGUGAGCCCCAUGGCUCCAUGGUGUCCAGCCCCAUGGCGCGGGCGGCCCUCCUCCUGCAGACCUGGUCUCUCUCUGCUCAAGGCUGUGGUCACCCCAAGGCCUGCUGCCCGGGAAGCUCCACCACGUCAGGAGCCCAGGCUGCCUGGGAGGCGUAGACUGGGACUGUUGAGACCAAACCCAAAUCCCCUUCGGAAGCACCUUCUGGACUUUCCAGGCCAUGGGAGGGUGAGGCCUGCGCAGGGGAGCAGACCCCGCUCUGGCUGAGCAGGGAGGCUCCGUGGGAGCAGCCCCUUCUGAGCUUACGGCCCCUUGUCCUCGCGUGCCCUCUGCAGAGCGCUUUGCUCCCCGCUGCCCCCUGAAAUGGCCUCUCAGAGGCCUCCAACAGCAGCUUGGGAGCCAAACCCAAGGCACCCAUUCCUCCUUUCCUCCCUGGACUCCUGCAGUGUUCUCCCCGGCCUGUCCCUGUGCUCAGCUUGUGCUCCCCUGGCCGUCCCAUGUCCCUCUCAUUCACCUGAACAGUCUGGAGUUGCCAACCCCUGACCCUGGCCUGAGCCCAAGCAUGUGGACGACAGGCUGCUCCCGGCUCAGGGCUGCCCUCCCACUGCCCCUGCCCAGCCAGCUGUGCAGCCCCCUGGCCCUUCCUGACCACCAGGGCCCUGAGCUGGGACUGCCCACCUUGCACAGUGGGCCCAGAGCCCCCGGGCAGCCCCCGUGUCUCAACUCACCACGUGACCCCAGGCCAGGUUCAGGACGUGGGAUGGAAAAAAUGUGGACAUUUAUUAAGCCCUGACUGUGUGCAGGCCUCGUCCUCAGUACUUGACCAUCAUUGGAGGCCCCAGCUCACUCCUCCCACCACUGUCCUCCAGUCAAGAGGCCAAGGCUAGAGCGCUCGCCUCGCAUGGGCGAGACCCUGCGUUCAGUCCCCAGCACCCCGCCCCCCCAAAAAAAGGAGGCCAAGGCCAAGGCUGGAGGAUUAGGAUGCUUACUCAUGGUGACAUGGCUCUUAAGGGAUCCCAGUCCUAGCGCCUGUCACCACAGCAGGUGGCCUGCCCAACCUCCAUCCGAGCCUCUGUCCACCCUCCAUCCACCCUCCCUCCGCCUGACCCCGGGCCUCGUCCCUCUUGCUCUCCAUCCUCCCAGGGUUGCAGGCCCCGGACAUCUCAGACUCUGCGAUGCCCUUGAGCCUCGGCCUCUCUCCAGGUUGGCCUGGGGAUUCAGUCCAGGUGACACCUGCCCUGGCCCCUCCCCUUCCUCUUGCACUUGGCCCUGACCGCGCAGCGUCACCCACUCUGUGCACACCCAGUGCAGGCCCCAGGUCAGGGGCUCUGCAGGGUCUCAAGUGCUCUGUGCAGGGGAGGACCCAGCCACCUGAGGAGCACAUUCGGUGGGUGUGCCUCGGGGACACAACUCAUCUUCACAGCAGCCUUAGGAAGAAGACUCAUCUGUUCCUUGAACCUCCUUGGGGAAAGCCCUGUGCGUGCUGAGCCUGCACACACGACCCACAGUCCACACCAGAGGCCCCAGCUCUGUCCCCGGCCACAUCUGCCUGCUGCUGGAGGGGACAGGUGCGCGAUCCCGGGCCACAGGGCAGCAGCCCCACACGAUGACUCUUAGCACCUAGGGCCUCGCCUGUGUCCUGAAGCCAGGACCCAGGACCCGUGGUGACAGCCUCACCCUUCUGUCAAGCACCAGGCUGUGCCCAGUGAACUCCGACCCAUCCUGGGAGGCGACUGGGAGGGAGGAGAGAGUGUCUUUGGCACACCGGGCACCCUCGGGGUGGCUUACGACCCGUGGCCUUCUGCGGCCUCCCUGUCAGCCCAGUCAGGUGGGGGUGCUCCCAGGCUGCGGCAGGGGGAGGCCGGAGGAGAGGACGGGUCUGUGUGCUUCCUCGUGGCCAGGGCAGGCGAGCAAGGGCCAGUGGCCCUCCAGGUUGGGGUCGGGGUCCUGGCGGGAUGGCAGGCUCUGGAAACUGUCCUCUGCACCUCCAUCCCGCCCCCCAUCCUCUUCCUUUCCGAGGCAGGAUUCGGCCUCUUGAAAUUCUGCACACUAAUAAAAUUGUAACUAAUUUA
Long non-coding RNA from Marmota monax (woodchuck), 3591 nucleotides. RefSeq lists it as uncharacterized. NCBI's taxonomy places the organism in Eukaryota, Metazoa, Chordata, Mammalia, Rodentia, Sciuridae. The record is from RefSeq and is a predicted model, not a curated record. The transcript is spliced from 2 exons.